Molecule: long non-coding RNA, 815 nt
Organism: Vespa crabro (European hornet)
Lineage: Eukaryota; Metazoa; Arthropoda; Insecta; Hymenoptera; Vespidae
Exons: 2
Source: RefSeq, a predicted model, not a curated record
CUUCGCACGUAAGUUGACCUUGACGAACGGCUACACCUCAACGACGCGAGAACGAUGACGUUGCGUUUAUAAUCCUUCUGAAGAUCACAUUGCGUACCCCAGCCGAUAAAUUCCAAGAUAAACGGUUAGAAGGGAACAAACAGGAGGAGUAGUGAAAAAGAGAAAAAGAAAAAAAGAGAAGGAAAAGCAAAAGAAAAAGAAGAAGAAGAGGAGGAGAAAAAGGAGAAGGAGGAGGAGGAGAAGGAGGAAGAGGAGGAGAAAGAAAAAAAGGAAAGUCUCUUUAGAAGGAGCGCCCGUCUAUGACAGACGGACGAACCGCGACGAAACAGCUGCUGCGACUGCGGUCGUGGCAUCUCGUACUCCUUCGUUGCUAUUGGGUGAAGGGAGAGUAAAAUCGAGAGAGAUCAUCGACUUCUACUUCUUAGAGAAAGAGAGAAAGAGAGAGAGAGAGAGAGAGAGAGAGAGAGAGAGAGAGAGAAAGAGUCUCCUUUCCCUCUCUCCUUCCAUUACCAGCACCACCAGCACCAUCACCACCAAACAUUAUCACCAACAACAUUGAUCGUGAGCAACGAAAGAGAAAAGAAGGAAUCGUUACGAAGGCGCAUUCAUGAUGAUGAUGAGGAGGAGGAAGAGGAGGAGGAGGAGGAGGAGGACGUUGUGAAAGCAAGCACAGGAUGAAUUUCAUAGGGAAAGGCAACUAUCGACCUUUACUCUGAGGCCCUUAUAAUCCUUAAACUAUAAACGAAUAUAAAUAUUACCUUUGUUUUCUCAUCAAUGUUAUUAUUACUUUAAUAAGAUAGAAAACAGGUGGAAUU